Molecule: transfer RNA, 71 nt
Filed under: Perkinsus olseni
Lineage: Eukaryota; Perkinsozoa; Perkinsida; Perkinsidae
Description: tRNA-Phe
Rfam family: tRNA
About the family: Transfer RNA (tRNA) molecules are approximately 80 nucleotides in length. Their secondary structure includes four short double-helical elements and three loops (D, anti-codon, and T loops).
Source: RNAcentral
GCCACUUUAGCUUGGUGGUAGAGCGUCAGCUUUGAAGCAGAAGGUCAUCAGUUCAAUCCUGACAAGUGGCG